AACGUAGGACACAAGCGUUAUCCGGAGUUACUGGGCGUAAAGGGCGUGUAGGCGGACCUAUAAGUCUAUUCUGAAAGCUCCUGGCUAAACUGGGAGAGGCGAAUGGAGACUGUAGAUCUAGAGUGAGGAAGAGGAAAGUGGAAUUCCGCGUGUAGUGGUGAAAUGCGUAGAGAUGCGGAGGAACACCAGUGGCGAAAGCGACUUCUGGGCCUUACCUGACGCUGAGAAGCGAAAGCAUGGGGAGCGAACAGG
Molecule: ribosomal RNA, 252 nt
Filed under: uncultured bacterium
Lineage: Bacteria
Description: partial 16S ribosomal RNA
Rfam family: Bacterial small subunit ribosomal RNA
Source: RNAcentral